UGCUAGUCGCGUGCCUCAGCUAAAACGAGGCACGGCGCACAGCUCAGUAGCACGUGGCUAAUCUGCCCUUGGGACGAGAAUACCCCCGGGAAACUGGGGCUAAUUCACGAUAGGCGAAGAACACUGGAAUGUGUCUUCACCUAAAAGACCCUACGUUAUGCUCGUAGAAGUCGCCUAAGGAUGAGGCCGCGACCGAUCAGGUUGUUGGUGAGGUAAUGGCUCACCAAGCCUUUUACCGGUGCGGGCCGUGAGAGCGGGAGCCCGGAGAUGGGUACUGAGACAAGGACCCAGGCCCUACGGGGCGCAGCAGUCGCGAAACCUUUGCAAUACACGAAAGUGUGACAGGGCUAUCCCGAGUGCCAUCCGCUGAGGAAGGCUUUUACCCAGUCUAGAAAGCUGGGGGAAUAAGGAGAGGGCAAGUCUGGUGUCAGCCGCCGCGGUAAUACCAGCUCUUCGAGUGGUGUGGGUGUUUAUUGGGCCUAAAGCAUCCGUAGCUGGCUAGGUAAGUCCCUUGUAAAAUCCACCGAAUUAAUCGUUGGAUCGCGGGGGAUACUGCUUGGCUAGGGGACGAGAGAGGCAGACGGUAUUUUCGGGGUAGGGGUGAAAUCCUAUAAUCCCGGGAAGACCACCAGUGGCGAAGGCUGUCUGCUAGAACGCGCCCGACGGUGAGGGAUGAAAGCUGGGGGAGCGAACCGGAUUAGAUACCCGGGUAGUCCCAGCUGUAAACGAUGCAGACUAGGUGUUUGGACGGCCACGUGCCGUUCUAGUGCCGCAGGAAAGCUGUUAAGUCUGCCGCCUGGGGAGUACGAUCGCAAGAUUGAAACUUAA
RNAcentral lists this ribosomal RNA (828 nucleotides) under uncultured crenarchaeote. Its description in RNAcentral is "bacterial SSU rRNA". It matches the Rfam family "Archaeal small subunit ribosomal RNA", at positions 52 to 859 of the family's 1478-position model. Lineage: Archaea; Thermoproteati; Thermoproteota. The record is from RNAcentral.